UACGUAGGGUGCAAGCGUUGUCCGGAAUUACUGGGCGUAAAGAGCUCGUAGGUGGUUUGUCGCGUUGUUCGUGAAAACUCACAGCUCAACUGUGGGCGUGCGGGCGAUACGGGCAGACUUGAGUACUGCAGGGGAGACUGGAAUUCCUGGUGUAGCGGUGAAAUGCGCAGAUAUCAGGAGGAACACCGAUGGCGAAGGCAGGUCUCUGGGCAUUAACUGACGCUGAGGAGCGAAAGCAUGGGGAGCGAACAGG
Molecule: ribosomal RNA, 253 nt
Filed under: uncultured bacterium
Lineage: Bacteria
Description: partial 16S ribosomal RNA
Rfam family: Bacterial small subunit ribosomal RNA
Source: RNAcentral